This 254-nucleotide ribosomal RNA is filed under the name uncultured bacterium. RNAcentral describes it as "partial 16S ribosomal RNA". It matches the Rfam family "Bacterial small subunit ribosomal RNA", at positions 524 to 776 of the family's 1533-position model. The record is from RNAcentral.
UACGAAGGGGGCUAGCGUUGCUCGGAAUUACUGGGCGUAAAGGGCGCGUAGGCGGAUGUUUAAGUCGGGGGUGAAAGCCCGGGGCUCAACCUCGGAAUUGCCUUCGAUACUGGACAUCUUGAGUACGGGAGAGGUGAGUGGAACUCCGAGUGUAGAGGUGAAAUUCGUAGAUAUUCGGAAGAACACCAGUGGCGAAGGCGACUCACUGGCCCGUUACUGACGCUGAGGCGCGAAAGCGUGGGGGAGCAAACAGG